UAUUUUUAAGAGUGUAGUUCAUGUCAAACCUGUAUGACUUUCGUCUGUGGAACACAAAUGAUAUUGAAACGUCUCCAUAUAAUGGAAAUCAAUGGAGUCUAGUCUGGAUUUGGACAGUUUACACAUUCUUCAAAAUAUAUUCUUUUGUGUUCCACAGAAGAAAGUCAUUCAUACAGGUUUGGAGUGACAUGAGAGUGAGUAAAUGAGUUUUAUUUAUCUUUAAAUUGCAUUAUGUAAAACUGGGAGUACUUAAGGAGGAAAUCAGCUACAGGCCAUCAAAUUGAAAGAAAAAAUUAUAUCUGUGUGCAUAAGCAGCAUUUAAUUUUUUCAGUAGUACAUGACUGCGAUCCACCGCACAUCUAGUCAAAACAAAGCCAACUGAAGAUCAUGUGCACAUUAUUACACCCCUAACUGAACGUCAUAGGUCUUCAAAUGGGAUUUUUAUUUGAUUUGAUCGGUUUGAUGCGUUUUACAAUUAUAUACAAUAUACAGGCAGCACAUAGUACAUUUUCUUUCCAACAAUCAAUCAAUCAAACAGGGAAGUUGUUAAAUUAGACUACUUUCUGAGAGAGAGCUUCAAACAUUAUACACUGUGCAGUACUGGAAGCAAGUCUUAGAAAACGGGAUCUUAAAAAGGGAUGAAAAGAAACCGCUGAUGCAUCUUAAAAGCCCUCAGUAUGUACAGAAGAAGCCAAGAAAUCGAAAGAAUCGCCACAAAACACAAAGACGCUAAUAGAAUGAGAAGUCUUUUUUUUUUUCUCCAUAUACAUAACAUUGCUAAAAA
Molecule: long non-coding RNA, 784 nt
Organism: Sinocyclocheilus anshuiensis
Lineage: Eukaryota; Metazoa; Chordata; Actinopteri; Cypriniformes; Cyprinidae
Exons: 2
Source: RefSeq, a predicted model, not a curated record